UUGCUUUUUUCACCAUGGCCAUGCUGGCUAGAUUAGAUGAGGACUGCAAUUGGAUAACAGCUAGUGAGCUGUUAUCUGAAACAGGCAUGUCACUCAUCUAUACCAUAAAAUAAUGUAAUAUACAAGGUGUAACAUGUUCACAAGAUGGCAAGAUUAGAUGAGCACUGUUCAUGUUCAGUAUGGAAAAAGAGAAGAUUGAGAGGAGCUACAACAGCUAUCUUUAAAUAUCUGAAGGACUGUAAAAUGAGACACAAAACAAUCUUGCUUUCUUUGCUAUUUCAGAGGAUACAACUGAAACCAGUGGAUCAUAAUUACAGGAAAGGAGAUUCCAUUAAAUAUUAGGAAGUACCACCAGAUGUGCAUCGAAGUACUUGGCUAUUCACAGUACUGUGCUCAGAUUUCUGCCUCCCAAGAGAUCCCGGUUUUGAAUGGUAGAUGGGACCUGGAAGGAUGGGACCAAAAUUUGUUCUUGUUUAUCUGGCUCAGUAGUACAUGGACUGUAAUGGAGAUCAUUCAAUAAAAGGAAGCUAUUAUAGGAAGACAUCAAGAGUGACAGAAAACAGAGCCAGUUUGCUGAGAAAAGCUAUUUCCUGAUGUGACAUUUGUCUUCUCAAAAUAACUUUCUUAAGGAAAACAUUUACCAUAACAGUUCUUCUGGCGACCUUCUGAACACAAUCAAAACACUGACAAGAGCUAUACACAUCAGUGAUGGAAUGGAAGGAUUGCUGUCAAGCAAGCAAAAAGUGUCUUAUCCUCUACCAGAAGACAAAUAUAUUGUCACAGAUUUCAGUUUCUGUCAACCCUCCCACAAUCUUUUUUGUUCUUUCACAGUUCUGAAAAAUCUUAUGCAAUCUUUUAAAAUUACAGUAGAGUGGGUCAGCCUAAUAUUUGGGGAUUCUGUGUGCCAAGUUGUUUGUGAUCUUUUUUAUUUGGAGAACUAGCUAAGACUUUAGCUAAAAUUCAGCUUUUUCUAUCAGGGUUUGAACAUGCUGCUAUAAAUUGAAGGAUUCUGCUCCCAAAAAUCAAUUCUAGGAGAAAUUAAGCUGCAUAAUAAGUGGUUCAAAGAGAGCAGCAUGUGCGUUUGUGUGUUUGUGUGCCGGGACAGAGCGGGGGAGUGCGAUGAUCAAGCUGUGCUUUGGAAGUUUCAUUUUAAGUGUAGCCUCCAUGUAUCUUUGGGGAACGGCAUAUGGCAUGUGCUACAGAUGGAUAGAUAAUGAUACACGUACAGCUGGAUGUCUUUGGCAUAGGUGGUCCAGCUUGUAUCAUGCCAGCUGGCUAGCAGCAGCUAGGUCUGGAGAAUGAUUUGAUUACCCACAGCUGUUGCACAAAGUCAACACAAAGCAGGGAGGGGAAAUGUGGAAGAUGCUGUGACAAGAGGAAGCCGGAAGGGGAUUGCACACUAAUCCUCCUUACCUCAACAAGGGGCCCCAAGACUUCACCCACCAACAAUACAUCUCUCUAGACAGGAGCUUUCUUCCUACACCUAUGCCUCAUUUUGAAUGUGAUGCAUUUAGGAUGAAAGUUAAGAUGGGAUAAAUUUGAACAACUUUCUGAAACAAUCCAUUGCAGCCAGUUCUGAAUAAUGCAUGAACCAAAUUUACAAUGCUCUGCCUUCUUCACCCUGUGUGUGGUACAGGGAGCACAGCUGGCUUUUGCUUUGUGCUGUAUACCAUCCCUAAUUGAAACAAAGCCCAAGUAGACACUCCGGCAUGCAUUCAUUCCUUUUCCACUGACCUCUUCCCAUUCCUCUAUUUAGUUUUUCUUGUGUCUUGUUAUUCAUUUGCCCGUACACUCACCAUCAAUGGUCUAUGUUUAUGCUAGAAACUCCUUAGGGGAGAAAUUGAUCUUUUGGUUUUGUUACUUUAUGCCAGUACAGGUAUAUUGUAGCUAAUGACAUAUUCUUGGGCAUUUCUCCAUUAAUAAAAUGUCUGUACCACAGGCAGAAAUAACAUCAAAAGAAUGAGGAUAUGUUCCUUCAACACACAAAAAGAAGAGCACUUCAAUGUGUUUCUGCAGGCAUUUUCUUCAAAACUGACAAUAUGCAGCUGUGAUAUGAAAAAAGUCAGGUAAUCUUACACAAGUAAACAAAAACAUUAAACUUUCUAGAGACCAUUUGAAAGCUUUUUUCCAACAUGAAUCUGGGUAUAAUUUUUUCUUUCACCAGCAACUUUAUGAUUUCCAUCUACAUUGACCAUUUAAUGCAAUUUGAAGCUGUGGUGGACAGACAACAAGCUCUCACAAAAGCACACAAAGGAAAGCCCUUAAUGCCCACCAGAGCUCUUCAGUUUGUGUAAUCACCAUCUGGGCUUCAAACUGGUUCCAGGAUUUCUGAUGUAAUCAUAUGCACAGCAGAAACACUUUCUUCAUUAUUGGUGUGAAACUGCAUUGCAGUGUAGCUCAGGUCUCAGUGGCUAAAUGUAUGGGUGAGGUAGACUAAUCUCUUUCCCCCCCUUUCUCUUUGUUGUAUCAUUCAUGCAUCCUCAGUGAUGAAUUCUGGCUCCAACCACUGUUCAUCUUGCCUAUUGUAGGUAGGUUCACAUGGCUAGAGUAAGAUCCAUAAAAGUAGAAUGCUACUCUUUCUUAGCAAAAACAUUUUAUCGUAUUAUCUAUUGCAGAUACACUGCUACAGUACAACACUCAAUGUUUCUGUUUCUCCAACCAUCCUUCAUCAUCCUUCCAAUGUUGAUACUUUUUUAUACCCCUUCCAGAUAGACAUAAGACAAGGAAGAAAACAUGGGCUUGUUAAAUGGACCUUUGUUAAAUUUCAAGAGACUUUGAGAACUGAGAUAUAUCAGUAUACGGUUAAUGUCACCUUCAUUUGGAGAUGACCAA
Long non-coding RNA from Anolis sagrei ordinatus, 2832 nucleotides. RefSeq lists it as uncharacterized. The record is from RefSeq and is a predicted model, not a curated record. NCBI's taxonomy places the organism in Eukaryota, Metazoa, Chordata, Lepidosauria, Squamata, Anolidae.